CAGGGAGACAACAAAAUGUUUAAUAUUAUUAUUUUGUCACCUUAGGUCGAUCGGUAUCUCACGUUCUUAAUUUAUUAAGAAUUUCAUUUCCUAAGUUUUUCUAGGUCACACCCAUUAUUUUUCCUGGGCCAUUAGCUCAGGUGGUUAGAGCGCACCCCUGAUAAGGGUGAGGUCCCUGGUUCAAGUCCAGGAUGGCCCAUAUCUCUAUGUUGGGGGUAUAGCUCAGUUGGUAGAGCGCCUGCUUUGCAAGCAGGAUGUCAGCGGUUCGAGUCCGCUUACCUCCACUGAUUACCACCUCUUCCAUAAUUUGCAGAAAGGAAAUUUUUGAGUUGUGAUCAAAUUCUGAACGAAUCUAGCUUCCUAAUGAAAUCAUUAAGAUGCUGGACUCAUUGAAUUAAUUUCAUUGUUUUCAGAGAACCUUGACAACUGCAUAGAUUAUUUUAAAGACAAUAAGCAUCUUUAAUGAUGCAGAUUUAUUAUUUGUGCGAAUGCAUUAAUAACAAUUCUAUUAAGCUGAUGCUUCAAUUUUGAAGUUAUU
RNAcentral lists this transfer RNA (538 nucleotides) under uncultured cyanobacterium. RNAcentral's name for it is "partial 16S-23S ribosomal RNA intergenic spacer". The stretch from base 212 to 284 matches the Rfam family "tRNA". Lineage: Bacteria; Bacillati; Cyanobacteriota. The record is from RNAcentral.